ACUCCUACGGGAGGCAGCAGUGGGGAAUUUUACGCAAUGGGGGAAACCCUGACGUAGCGACACCGCGUGAGCGAAGAAGCCCUUUGGGGUGUAAAGCUCUGUCAGCUGGAACGAAAACAAUGACGGUACCAGCAGAGGAAGCAUCGGCUAACUACGUGCCAGCAGCCGCGGUAAGACGUAGGAUGCGAGCGUUGUCCGGAUUUAUUGGGCGUAAAGAGUUCGUAGGUGGUUUGUUAAGUUUGGUGUUAAAGAUCGGGGCUCAACCCUGGGACUGCACUGAAUACCGGCAGACUCGAGUGUGGUAGAGGCUAGUGGAAUUCCCAGUGUAGCGGUGAAAUGCGUAGAUAUUGGGAAGAACACCGGUGGCGUAGGCGACUAGCUGGGCCAUAACUGACGCUGAGGAACGAAAGCCAGGGGAGCGAAUGGGAUUAGAAACCCGAGUAGUCCCAUGAU
RNAcentral lists this ribosomal RNA (453 nucleotides) under uncultured organism. RNAcentral's name for it is "partial 16S ribosomal RNA". It matches the Rfam family "Bacterial small subunit ribosomal RNA", at positions 335 to 805 of the family's 1533-position model. The record is from RNAcentral.